RNAcentral lists this ribosomal RNA (492 nucleotides) under uncultured bacterium. RNAcentral describes it as "partial 16S ribosomal RNA". It matches the Rfam family "Bacterial small subunit ribosomal RNA", at positions 29 to 507 of the family's 1533-position model. The record is from RNAcentral.
AGUGAACGCUGGCGGUAGGCCUAACACAUGCAAGUCGAACGGCAGCACAGUAAGAGCUUGCUCUUACGGGUGGCGAGUGGCGGACGGGUGAGGAAUACAUCGGAAUCUACUUUUUCGUGGGGGAUAACGUAGGGAAACUUACGCUAAUACCGCAUACUACCUACGGGUGAAAGCAGGGGAUCUUCGGACCUUUCGCUAUUGAAUGAGCCGAUGUCGGAUUAGCUAGUUGGCGGGGUAAAGGCCCACCAAGGCGACGAUCCGUAGCUGGUCUGAGAGGAUGAUCAGCCACACUGGAACUGAGACACGGUCCAGACUCCUACGGGAGGCAGCAGUGGGGAAUAUUGGACAAUGGGCGCAAGCCUGAUCCAGCCAUACCGCGUGGGUGAAGAAGGCCUUCGGGUUGUAAAGCCCUUUUGUUGGGAAAGAAAAGCAGCAGGUUAAUACCCCGCUGUUCUGACGGUACCCAAAGAAUAAGCACCGGCUAACUUCGUG